UACAUUUAGUUUCUAAAAAUAACAACUACUAUAUUCUUCAAAAUUUAAAAAAUAUUAUUUGUAUUAUUUAUUUUUUUAUUUUAAUUAUAUUAGUUUUAUAUUUUUUUUGUUAUUCAAAAAUAACUCUACAUUUAAUAUCGGUUAAAUUAUUCCGAAUUAAAUUCAAGUUAAAUUUUUAUCAAAAUGUUAUAAAAAAUUUAAAAUUUUUUUUUAUCCCUAACUUAAAGGUAAAGUAAAAAGAUUGGUGACGAUACAAGGGUAUGUUUAAAAAUGCAAAAUAUUAAAAUACUUAUUUUUCCUCCCUAACUAAGGGGUAAAUAAAAAAAAAGUUGAUAAUGAUAGAAGAAUAUAUUUGAAAGGCAAGAUAGUAAUUUUACAAAGAUAAUUUGAAACGUUAAAAUGGUAUUCUAAAUAUUAAUUUUCUAAGGAGGGUAAAUAAGAAAGCUGAAAAUUUUUCAGAGCUACAGAAGCAAUGGUCCCUAGUUUUUAAUAUAAAAAAAAUUCAAAUCACGUUAUACUCUGAAAAUGAUGUCUAAUUCUGCUUUACGAUGAAACUACACUUUACGUAAAUGAGUUUUUGACAAUUCUAUAAUUUUUCAGGCUGCUACUUUAGUUUUGCUGCUUCUGAUAGAAGAAUAGAAAGGAAAAGAAAAAAGAAAAACUGAAUUUCCUCAGUUGUUCAGCUCUUCCGGUCAGGAUUAAAACUUUCGGUCAAAAUUGUAACACAUACAUUGCUAUCUAUAUCUACUUAAAAUACUUUUGAUGAGAAUUUACUUAUAUUGCUUAUUCGUACAACUAAUUGUAAAAAUAUUACUUUUGAAACAGAUUUUUUGGGCCUUGUCACUAACUUGAAUAAGCUUUUGAAGUGGAGCAAUGAGUUUUGAGGAUUUAUAAUUUGAGAUUUGUCCGAGAUUAUAAGUGUUUACUGUUAUUUAGAAUUUAUUAUUUUUUGGUUAAAUUUCGAAUAAGUAUUUUAUUAUUGGAAUUCAUGUCCAAAAUUUAAUUUGAACAUUGAAAUUGUAAUUUGAUAGUGAAGACUAUUUGUUAUACAAAUUAGUAAUAUUUUUUGGUUAUUACUAUUUUUUAAGAUUUUAAUUCAUUGUAGUAUUUAGUUGUGGAACAAGUAUUUUAAUAUGAAUUGUAAUUGCCGUUAUAUGCUUCAUUUAUCAAACAUUUACUAUGUUUUUUGUGACAAUUAUAGUUAAUUAUAAAGGCAUUUAUAAUAGUUGCUAUUAUGUAGUAUUUAGCGGCAUUUAUUUAGGCUUUUAUCAACCGCCAGAACAAAUGCCACUAUAACUUUUAUCGACCCUACCAAUAGCGGCAAUUAUCAUAAUUGCCAGGUAAUUUAAAAAAUAAUCACCACUAAAACUUAAUUUUGUUGUAGUGAUUAUGCAUCAACUGAAAUCGGAUCUUGGGUCAGGGAGGAGCCGAGAAAGGCAUAGUUGGUCUUGUUAGCGGGCAAUUUUGGGGCUGCAGUCAGUUUCUGGAUAGGCAGUUCAUACUCUGGUAGUAGGCUGAGAAGUUGUGGCGGACUCGGAGAUAGAAAUAGCAACGAUGGUGGCAACAGCAACAACAAUAGGAAACUGAUCUUGGGUCGCUGCAUUGGCAGGAAGCUAGCACUUUAUGAUCUGGAGGUAGAUCAGAGGUGGGAAAGCGUAGAGUGCACAUGUGGCGGCGCAAGUUCUUGAAGACGGGCGAAAGGGCACUACUGGGGUUCGGCAUAGACGGAGAUGGCAUUGGAGGGCUUGGUUUCUGGUAAUGGCUGUGCACCAUCAAGUGAGAGAAAGCUAGUGAUAGUAGUAAUCGAGAUAAAAUGGUUACAUGGGGAGUGGAGACUUGUGGGGUUUUAUAUGCAUUUUGAGUCUUUUUAGUUUGAGUAAUUGCUUAUAUACUCAUUAAAAGUUUCAGGCUUUUAUAUUUAGGGCAUGUUUGGUUCCUUAGAAAAUAUUACAAUUUUUUUUUUUCAAGCUAGAAAAAUUGUCUCCGCAUGUUUGGUUCGUAGGAAAAAUAAUUUUUUUUUUUAUAUUUCAUGGAAACAUUGCCUUUUGUUUUCCAAAUAUUUUUUAGGAAAAGAAAAACUUUUUUCUCACAAACAUUUUGAGAAGUAAAAGAAAUUUUUUUUCUAAGAUAUUGAUGUACGUUUACCACUAAAUUCGUUAUUUUUAUCAUCUCCCACUGUCUCUCUAUAUCACCAAAUUAUAUAUACACACAUACAGAAUAACCAUCUUCAUCUCCUAGCCAUCAUCUCCAUCUCUUUUGUCAAAUUACAUUAUCAAUACCAAAAUAUAGUUAAAAUUUAUUUUUAUUUAAUUAUUUAUUAUUUAUAUUGUAAAGAGUUUGUAAAUAUUAUGUUAAAUUUUAGAAGAUUGGUAAUCAAUCUCACCCUUCUUUAGUAGAAAAUGAUGAUAUAUCAAAAUUUUCGACUAACCAAAUAAGUGAAAUCGAAAUUAAAUACUAUUUUUUUUUUCCUUACCAACUAAACUUUCAUAUAUAAAAAAUUAUUUUUGUUUUCCAUCGAAGCAAGCGGCAGAAACUAGGAAUUCCAUAAAAAACCUUUUUCUUCAUAAAAUAGUUUUCUAUUAUUUUCCAAGGAACCAAAGAAGCCCUUACGUGCUUAGAAGGCUAAUAUAAAAAAUACUCAUUUAAUAUUCCAAAUUUUUUCAAAUAUAUUCCUAGCUAGAGUUAAAUUCUAAGAACAACUAUUAUUUCUAUAAAGUUACUGUUUUGCCCUUUCAAAACUACCAUUCUAUAGUUAUCAAGUUUUCUUAUUUAUCCUCAAAUUAGGAAUAAAAGAAUUAUCUAGACUUUUUUUUCUUUCAAUUCAAAUAUUUACUAUUCUACCAUCAUCAAUUUUUCUUAUUUGUCCUUAAAUUAGAAAUAAAAGUGGUAUUUUGACUUUUUUUUUUUUUUAACUCUAGUAAAAAUUUAAUUCGGGUUUAAUCUGAGAUUAGUUAACAAAUAUUAACAGCGGAGUUAUUUUAAAUAAUGAAAAAAAUAUAAAAAAAAUAUUUAAAAUAAAAAAAUAAAAAAUUAUUAAAUAUUUCAGAAAUAUUAAGAAAUAUAUAAGUAAUUAUUCUUUUUAAUUUCCAAUCCU
Molecule: long non-coding RNA, 3094 nt
Filed under: Ananas comosus (pineapple)
Lineage: Eukaryota; Viridiplantae; Streptophyta; Magnoliopsida; Poales; Bromeliaceae
Description: long non-coding RNA (ACOM_LNC009151)
Source: RNAcentral